CCUGUAGGUUACCUGUAUGUUACCUGUACAGGUAAUCCUCUAUCUCAACUGUAGGUUACCUGUAUGUUACCUGUACAGGUAAUCAUCUAUCUCACCUGUAGGUUACCUGUAUGUUACCUGUACAAAUAAUCCUCUAUCUCACCUGUAAGUUACCUAUUUCAUUUUUGAAUUACCUCAACAAGAAAAUUAAACUGUUGUGACUAUUCAGAUAUUUUAAUUUGUAAUGUCCUACGACCUCUUGAGAAGGCCAAGACCAAUUAUGUAAAUUACAUAUAGCUACAUUUGUAUAUAUUUUUGUGUCCAAGCAAAAAUGCCAUGGAUAUUAAUUUGCUCUCUAACUUUAGUGUUUAUGUGCAGAAAAUUCUUCAUAUACAAAAGUUUGUUAAUUAUACAAGUGUGUGUAAUUCUAUGUGAAAAUUGUGUAAGUCUAAGUGCAUAUUAAGUGUUUGAUUAGUUUUUGUGUACAAAUAUAUGGUAAUUGUACAAAUGUUUGUAAUUCUUAGUCAACAAGUGUUUGUGUAACUCUUUAUGUUCAAGUACUUGUGAAAUUCUUUGUGUAUUAAGUGCUUGGUUGAUUCUCAGCCUACAAGUGUUUGCGAAAUUCUUAUUGUUUAUGUAACUCUUAGUGUACAAAUGUUUUGUAAGUGUACAAAUGUUUUGUAAUUGUACAAAUUCUUAGGGUACAAGAAUAGCUGCUGUGUAAUUCUGAAGCGUAUAGGUGUUAGAUGAGUUCUUAUAGCAUGCUAGUGUUAAGGUAAUAUUUUGUGUGAAAGUGUUUGAGGAUUUAUUAGGGUACUUGUAUUUGAAAUUCUUAUUAAAAGUUGUAUUGAAUGUUUGUGAAAAUGUGGACACAAGUGGCUGAUUUUAAACUGGCAUUCCUUAUCCCAACAAAUUUAUUUUUUAAAAUGUCGAGUGUAAUUAUUGGAAUGUUAUAGCGAGUGUAUGAAACAUUUGUUAACUUUAAAACUGGUGUUGGUGGUUACUUAUAAAGCUGAUAGCUGUGGUAGUGUAAUGAUGGCUUAUAUGAUAAGGAUAUAUCACUUACUUUGUAAGUAAAAAGUGAAGUGCAUGUUUUCAUGAAAGAUAGGUUAACAAUAUAAAUCUCUUUGGUAAUCAAACUUUAACCUUAGUUACCAUAACUUAUAACACAAGUCUGAACGGACUCGGUUACUAAGUAACUAUGUACAUAUCAAUAGCUAUAUUACUGUGGUAUAUGUGUGUAAUUAUCAGCUGGUAAUUAACCAUCUUCUAUAUUUUGUUAAAUUGUUAAUAAUAUAUUUUUGUUAGAUUAUUAUAUUUUGAUUGUUUUCA
Molecule: long non-coding RNA, 1311 nt
Organism: Pecten maximus
Lineage: Eukaryota; Metazoa; Mollusca; Bivalvia; Pectinida; Pectinidae
Exons: 2
Source: RefSeq, a predicted model, not a curated record